CCGGGCCGGCAGCCGGCAGAAACGUCUGCUGAGGAAGACACUGCAAAGUGUCAGCAAGGGCGUCUGGGAAUUAAUUUCACCCUAGAGUAGCUGUGCAGGUCUGUUGAGCCCCCAACUCUACAGCUAUGAACACCAGAUAACACUAGAAGCAGUCUGAUGCCUUGAACACCUCAUACGAAGGGGUUUUCAAAAUCUAGCCACAAACAUAUGACCAGAUUUGAAAGAUUUUGAGACGAGGAAGGAGUCUAUUCUGACACAGCCUCACACAGGAGAGAGGCCAGUCAAAGCUGUGAAGAACACUAACCAGGAUUUUUCUACCAAGAGUCAAAAACCUGGGUCCCGGCCCUCAAAGCUCUCGAUGCUCAAGGAGAUGACCACCUUCUUGCAGUGUCCUCGCAAGGCAAAGAGGUUCAUCUAAGAAUCUACCUAGAAGUAUUCAUAUUCCAUUUGGACUUCUCCAUCUGGUCCCCCAGGAGAACAUGGCUAUCCUUGUCAUCAUUUUGCUGAAAUCACACCACCAAGUCUACCACAGAAUCUAAGAACUGAGAGAGGAUGCAAGAGAGCACAUCUUAGAUCAGCCCUCAGCACACAGAACAAGAUGAAGAAUGGUGGAAAGUGGGUCUGGAGGAAAAUGGAGAACAUCCCUCAGAACUGAGAUUUAAACCCUGGUUUGUCUAACUCCAAAGUUUUUGUUUUUCUCAAAAUUCCAGUGUCUUAAAUUCUAGAUACUUAAAUUAGUGUCUUACCUAGGAGCUCAUAAUUUCAGUUUCUAACACCUUGAUCUCCAAAUGCAAAUUCCAUUCUUAGACAUGUGACUUUGGCAGCCAUUAACUUCCCAGAUAACCUUAUUUCUUCUAAGUCAUCUUCCAAAUAAUGACCCAAGGAAACACAGAGGAAAGCCAUGCCAGUACCCAUGCCAGGACUGCAGUGUCCUGUUGAGCAUAUUAGAAUCCCUGGAGAUAUUGAUAACAUUUGCCCACACAAAUGAUUCGUUAAGAGUGGGAUAUCUUAGCAGACUCUGCCACAGCCAAGACACCUGCUCCAAAAAGUCAGUCCUUUCCUGAUUGGAUGACUGGCCCAACUCAUGGUCCUUUGAAAUCCUUUACUCCUUGGUUUUCUCUGACCUUUUUUCUCCCAUUCCAUCUACCUCUUUCUUAAGAAGGAAUACCAAGAGGCAUUUAUCAACCUCUUUCCUAUCCUACUCAGUCAGGGAAGUCUUCCAGUGACUGCUGGUUACUGAUUUCUGUAUAAUCAACAUGGCGUCAUCAAUGGACAGUGUCUUCCAUGACUCUGCCAAAGAUGAGGAAAUAGUGAUUGUAUUGGUCAGUUCCCAAGACAAAAAGUGAGCCACUUUUUCAAGCAGACAGUAUCACUGUUUUUAACAGGCAUGUAAAAUUAAAAAAAAAAAGUCAUGUGAAAUAAAACAUAAUUAUACAUGCAGAAAAUCCUAAGAAAUCUACAUAAAACAAGAACUAAUAGGUGAAUUUAGCAAAGUCACAGGUUACAAGGUAAUUAUAUAAAAUAAAUUACAUUUUCAUAGACUGUGAAAAAUUAGAAAAUGAAAUCAAAGAAACAGUACCAAUUACAGUAACAUAAAAAACAAAACAUUUAGGAAUAUGUUUAACACAUAUAUGCAAGACCUAUACACUGUAAACUACAAAAUGUUGCUGUGAUAAAUUGAGAAUA
Long non-coding RNA from Neofelis nebulosa (Clouded leopard), 1686 nucleotides. RefSeq lists it as uncharacterized. The transcript is spliced from 5 exons. The record is from RefSeq and is a predicted model, not a curated record. Lineage: Eukaryota; Metazoa; Chordata; Mammalia; Carnivora; Felidae.